CCUACGGGGGACAGCAGUGGGGGAUAUUGCACAAUGGGGGAAACCCUGAUGCAGCGACGCCGCGUGUGGGAAGACGGUCCUCUGGAUUGUAAACCACUGUCCCCAGGGACGAAGAUGACGGUACCUGGGGAGGAAGCUCCGGCUAACUACGUGCCAGCAGCCGCGGUAAUACGUAGGGAGCGAGCGUUGUCCGGAAUUACUGGGUGUAAAGGGAGCGUAGGGGGGGAUGCAAGUUGGGUGUCAAAACUACCGGCUCAACUGGUAGUCGCACGUAAAACUGCAGCUCUUGAGUGAAGUAGAGGCAGGCGGAAUGCCUAGUGUAGCGGUGAAAUGCGUAGAUAUGAGGAGGAACACCAGUGGCGAAGGCGGGCUGCUGGGCUUUUACUGACGCUGAGGCUCGAAAGUGUGGGGAGCAAACAGGAUUAGAUACCCCUGUAGUC
This 440-nucleotide ribosomal RNA is filed under the name uncultured bacterium. RNAcentral describes it as "partial 16S ribosomal RNA". It matches the Rfam family "Bacterial small subunit ribosomal RNA", at positions 338 to 795 of the family's 1533-position model. The record is from RNAcentral.